UGGGUUCAUGUCAUCAUCUUCAGCACCUAUCUUAAAUUACCUUGUGGAAUAAUCACCCCAGCGGGCACUGUUUUGCUCUGCUCGGCCCGUUCGCAGCUAUUGAUUGCAUCGUCGUUCAACGGACUACUGAGAACCGCAUGACCUGAUUUACAUCACCGGCCUCUUCCCUCUUUUGAAGGGGUUGUACCGUUUCUGAAUCUUCUUUCUUGUUUUAACAAACGAGUCAAAAAUGGU
RNAcentral lists this small nucleolar RNA (234 nucleotides) under Trichophyton rubrum BMU01672. RNAcentral describes it as "CD-box snoRNA". Lineage: Eukaryota; Fungi; Ascomycota; Eurotiomycetes; Onygenales; Arthrodermataceae. The record is from RNAcentral.